This 72-nucleotide transfer RNA is filed under the name Ramazzottius varieornatus. It matches the Rfam family "tRNA". Rfam says of the family: Transfer RNA (tRNA) molecules are approximately 80 nucleotides in length. Their secondary structure includes four short double-helical elements and three loops (D, anti-codon, and T loops). The record is from Rfam by way of RNAcentral. Lineage: Eukaryota; Metazoa; Tardigrada; Eutardigrada; Parachela; Ramazzottiidae.
GCCCCUGUAGCGCAGUGGCAGCGCGUCGGUCUCCUAAACCGAAGGCCGUGGGUUCGAUCCCCACCUGGGGUG